RNAcentral lists this transfer RNA (86 nucleotides) under Phycisphaerales bacterium. RNAcentral describes it as "tRNA-Leu". It matches the Rfam family "tRNA". From Rfam's summary of the family: Transfer RNA (tRNA) molecules are approximately 80 nucleotides in length. The record is from RNAcentral. Lineage: Bacteria; Pseudomonadati; Planctomycetota; Phycisphaerae; Phycisphaerales.
GCCCGGGUGGCGAAAUUGGCAGACGCGCCAGCUUGAGGUGCUGGUCCCGGUAAUACGGGUUGGAGGUUCGAGUCCUCUCCCGGGCA